ACGGAGGAUGCAAGCGUUAUCCGGAUUCAUUGGGUUUAAAGGGUGCGUAGGCGGUUAUUUAAGUCAGUGGUGAAAUCCUGUCGCUCAACGAUAGAACUGCCAUUGAUACUGAAUAACUUGAGUACAGUUGAGGUAGGCGGAAUGUGUAGUGUAGCGGUGAAAUGCUUAGAUAUUACACAGAACACCGAUUGCGAAGGCAGCUUACUAAACUGAAACUGACGCUGAUGCACGAAAGCGUGGGGAGCGAACAG
RNAcentral lists this ribosomal RNA (251 nucleotides) under uncultured prokaryote. Its description in RNAcentral is "partial 16S ribosomal RNA". It matches the Rfam family "Bacterial small subunit ribosomal RNA", at positions 525 to 775 of the family's 1533-position model. The record is from RNAcentral.